RNAcentral lists this ribosomal RNA (468 nucleotides) under uncultured bacterium. Its description in RNAcentral is "partial 16S ribosomal RNA". It matches the Rfam family "Bacterial small subunit ribosomal RNA", at positions 28 to 507 of the family's 1533-position model. The record is from RNAcentral.
GACGAACGCUGGCGGCGUGCUUAACACAUGCAAGUCGAACGGAAAGGCCCUGCUUUUGUGGGGUGCUCGAGUGGCGAACGGGUGAGUAACACGUGAGUAACCUGCCCUUGACUUUGGGAUAACUUCAGGAAACUGGGGCUAAUACCGGAUAGGAGCUCCUGCUGCAUGGUGGGGGUUGGAAAGUUUCGGCGGUUGGGGAUGGACUCGCGGCUUAUCAGCUUGCUGGUGGGGUAGUGGCUUACCAAGGCUUUGACGGGUAGCCGGCCUGAGAGGGUGACCGGUCACAUUGGGACUGAGAUACGGCCCAGACUCCUACGGGAGGCAGCAGUGGGGAAUAUUGCACAAUGGGCGGAAGCCUGAUGCAGCAACGCCGCGUGCGGGAUGACGGCCUUCGGGUUGUAAACCGCUUUCGCCUGUGACGAAGCGUGAGUGACGGUAAUGGGUAAAGAAGCACCGGCUAACUACGUG